UUUGCUGACGAGUGGCGGACGGGUGAGUAAUGUCUGGGAAACUGCCUGAUGGAGGGGGAUAACUACUGGAAACGGUAGCUAAUACCGCAUAACGUCGCAAGACCAAAGAGGGGGACCUUAGGGCCUCUUGCCAUCGGAUGUGCCCAGAUGGGAUUAGCUAGUAGGUGGGGUAACGGCUCACCUAGGCGACGAUCCCUAGCUGGUCUGAGAGGAUGACCAGCCACACUGGAACUGAGACACGGUCCAGACUCCUACGGGAGGCAGCAGUGGGGAAUAUUGCACAAUGGGCGCAAGCCUGAUGCAGCCAUGCCGCGUGUAUGAAGAAGGCCUUCGGGUUGUAAAGUACUUUCAGCGGGGAGGAAGGGAGUAAAGUUAAUACCUUUGCUCAUUGACGUUACCCGCAGAAGAAGCACCGGCUAACUCCGUGCCAGCAGCCGCGGUAAUACGGAGGGUGCAAGCGUUAAUCGGAAUUACUGGGCGUAAAGCGCACGCAGGCGGUUUGUUAAGUCAGAUGUGAAAUCCCCGGGCUCAACCUGGGAACUGCAUCUGAUACUGGCAAGCUUGAGUCUCGUAGAGGGGGGUAGAAUUCCAGGUGUAGCGGUGAAAUGCGUAGAGAUCUGGAGGAAUACCGGUGGCGAAGGCGGCCCCCUGGACGAAGACUGACGCUCAGGUGCGAAAGCGUGGGGAGCAAACAGGAUUAGAUACCCUGGUAGUCCACGCCGUAAACGAUGUCGACUUGGAGGUUGUGCCCUUGAGGCGUGGCUUCCGGAGCUAACGCGUUAAGUCGACCGCCUGGGGAGUACGGCCGCAAGGUUAAAACUCAAAUGAAUUGACGGGGGCCCGCACAAGCGGUGGAGCAUGUGGUUUAAUUCGAUGCAACGCGAAGAACCUUACCUGGUCUUGACAUCCACGGAAGUUUUCAGAGAUGAGAAUGUGCCUUCGGGAACCGUGAGACAGGUGCUGCAUGGCUGUCGUCAGCUCGUGUUGUGAAAUGUUGGGUUAAGUCCCGCAACGAGCGCAACCCUUAUCCUUUGUUGCCAGCGGUCCGGCCGGGAACUCAAAGGAGACUGCCAGUGAUAAACUGGAGGAAGGUGGGGAUGACGUCAAGUCAUCAUGGCCCUUACGACCAGGGCUACACACGUGCUACAAUGGCGCAUACAAAGAGAAGCGACCUCGCGAGAGCAAGCGGACCUCAUAAAGUGCGUCGUAGUCCGGAUUGGAGUCUGCAACUCGACUCCAUGAAGUCGGAAUCGCUAGUAAUCGUGGAUCAGAAUGCCACGGUGAAUACGUUCCCGGGCCUUGUACACACCGCCCGUCACACCAUGGGAGUGGGUUGCAAAAGAAGUAGGUAGCUUAACCUUCGGGAGGGCGCUUACCACUUUGUGAUUCAUGACUGGGGUGAAGUCGUAACAAGGUAACCGUAGGGGAACCUGCGGUUGGAUCACCUCCUUACCUUAAAGAAGC
This 1464-nucleotide ribosomal RNA is filed under the name Escherichia coli. RNAcentral's name for it is "bacterial SSU rRNA". It matches the Rfam family "Bacterial small subunit ribosomal RNA". Lineage: Bacteria; Pseudomonadati; Pseudomonadota; Gammaproteobacteria; Enterobacterales; Enterobacteriaceae. The record is from RNAcentral.